GAAAUGCGAUACGUCAUGCGAAUUGCAGAAACUUGUGAGUCAUCAAAACUUUGAACGCAACUUGCACUUCCGUAAGGGAGUAUGUCUGUUGGAGUGUCUGUUCAUCCCCACUUCCGCCCCCGGGCGGGCAGUGCCGGCCGCUUGUCGUACGCGUUUUUCCUCGGAGAAAAGCGACGGACAAUCGAGUCUAGAUGAAACACCAAUCAACCGAACUCGCCCCUGCUCUUUGCCCAACGAAGGGCCCGGACGACGCGACGUGGGUUUUGACUUUCCGAUUAUUCGGUCUGUCUUUUCACAGCACGCGUCAGCCUCCGAGCUUUCUCCGCAGGUACACCAAAGAGAGCCCCGGCAUACCAUGAGUUCAUCCGAUCGGACCUCCAAUCAGGCAAGAUUACCCGCU
This 400-nucleotide unclassified non-coding RNA is filed under the name uncultured fungus. Its description in RNAcentral is "sequence contains ITS1". The stretch from base 1 to 99 matches the Rfam family "5.8S ribosomal RNA", at positions 50 to 154 of the family's 154-position model. The record is from RNAcentral. Lineage: Eukaryota; Fungi.